UGGGGAAUAUUGCGCAAUGGGGGGAACCCUGACGCAGCAACGCCGCGUGAGUGAAGAAGGUCUUCGGAUCGUAAAGCUCUGUCAUCGGGGACGAAGAAUGACGGUACCCGAAGAGGAAGCCCCGGCUAACUACGUGCCAGCAGCCGCGGUAAUACGUAGGGGGCGAGCGUUGUCCGGAAUUACUGGGCGUAAAGGGUGCGUAGGCGGCCUGAUAAGUCAGGUGUGAAAUACCAGGGCUCAACUCUGGGGGUGCACUUGAAACUGUCGGGCUUGAGUGCAGGAGAGGAAAGCGGAAUUCCUAGUGUAGCGGUGAAAUGCGUAGAUAUUAGGAGGAACACCAGUGGCGAAGGCGGCUUUCUGGACUGUAACUGACGCUGAGGCACGAAAGCGUGGGUAGCGAACAGG
This 405-nucleotide ribosomal RNA is filed under the name uncultured bacterium. RNAcentral's name for it is "bacterial SSU rRNA". It matches the Rfam family "Bacterial small subunit ribosomal RNA", at positions 355 to 776 of the family's 1533-position model. The record is from RNAcentral.